Molecule: non-coding RNA, 843 nt
Organism: Oryctolagus cuniculus (rabbit)
Lineage: Eukaryota; Metazoa; Chordata; Mammalia; Lagomorpha; Leporidae
Source: RefSeq, a predicted model, not a curated record
CUGCACGAGGCCCCCUGUGGCCAGGCUGCCCUUCAGGAAGGUUUUACCGAUUCCCACGUGCUUCCCGCAACGAGGGGCAGUCACCUGCCCAGAGCAUCACCCAGGGAUGUAUCGGGAUCGUUCUGCUGGCCAGCGUGAGAGUAAACACAACACCCUGCCAUCCCUGGCUCCCCAGCUGCGCUGAGCGGCUCUCGGUGCCGUCUGUACCACGUCCCUCUGGGACAGCUCAUGAGCACGAGGCUGUUUGGCCUUGGCCAAGUCCCCUGACCCUGCCUCCCUCUCCUCUCCUGCACAGCAGAGCUUCCGUCUCAUCAUGCGCUCUCCUGCACGCACACACCUGCCGUGACGCCAUCCGCCACAAUGAGCUGCAGCCAGGGGGUCCCUGGCUGAGCCAGCACCAGGCUCUCCGGGUUUUCAGCCUCCAGAACUCCAUGAACUUGAGCGUGACUGAGGAGCCCUGACUACUAACCCAGAGAGAGCACAGCGGACAGAUGACCACGGCAGACACCCCGGCACCACUACAGGACGAGUGACCCCUUUCUUAAACAGUGAACCACAAGGAAGGAGAAAAAAAGGCAACGUGGGAAACCGAGACGCAUCAGCCGUGGCGCACGCCGUGGGGAAGAGUGGAUCCUGAAUGGAUCCUGGUAGCUUCAGAGAUCUCACUUUUCUUUCCUGAGGUACGAUGGUGCUACUGUGACAAUUUUUAUAAAAGGAUUUUCUUCCUUUUGGAAAUACACUCGGUUACACAUGAAAUGGUAUGGGGUCAGCAACUUGCUCCAAAUAAUCACGGUGGGGCGAGAGCAUGGGGCUGGUCACGAGGACUGGUCUCGAGGGGAUAAA